GACGAACGCUGGCGGCGUGCUUAACACAUGCAAGUCGAACGGUGAACGAGGGAGCUUGCUCCCUCCGGAUCAGUGGCGAACGGGUGAGUAACACGUGAGCAAUCUGCCCCGAACUCUGGGAUAAGCGUUGGAAACGACGUCUAAUACCGGAUACGACGCGGGAGGGCAUCCUCUCCGCGUGGAAAGAACUUCGGUUCGGGAUGAGCUCGCGGCCUAUCAGCUUGUUGGUGAGGUAACGGCUCACCAAGGCGACGACGGGUAGCCGGCCUGAGAGGGUGACGGGCAAAAGUGGGAAGGAGAAGCGGCCCAGCCCCCAAGGGGGGGAGGCGGGGGGGAAUAUGGCACAGGGGGCGAAAGCCGGAGGCAGCAACGCCGGGGGAGGGAGGACGGCCUGCGGUUUGUAACCCUUUUUGAGCGGGGAAGAAGGAAAAGUGAGGGUCCGUGAAAAAAAAGCACCGGCAAAUUACGUG
This 470-nucleotide ribosomal RNA is filed under the name uncultured bacterium. RNAcentral describes it as "partial 16S ribosomal RNA". It matches the Rfam family "Bacterial small subunit ribosomal RNA", at positions 28 to 507 of the family's 1533-position model. The record is from RNAcentral.